GACGAACGCUGGCGGCGUGCUUAACACAUGCAAGUCGAACGGAAAGGCCCUGCUUUUGUGGGGUGCUCGAGUGGCGAACGGGUGAGUAACACGUGAGUAACCUGCCCUUGACUUUGGGAUAACUUCAGGAAACUGGGGCUAAUACCGGAUAGGAGCUCCUGCUGCAUGGUGGGGGUUGGAAAGUUUCGGCGGUUGGGGAUGGACUCGCGGCUUAUCAGCUUGUUGGUGGGGUAGUGGCUUACCAAGGCUUUGACGGGUAGCCGGCCUGAGAGGGUGACCGGCCACAUUGGGACUGAGAUACGGCCCAGACUCCUACGGGAGGCAGCAGUGGGGAAUAUUGCUCAAUGGGCGGAAGCCUGAUGCAGCAACGCCGCGUGCGGGAUGACGGCCUUCGGGUUGUAAACCGCUUUCGCCUGUGACGAAGCGUGAGUGACGGUAAUGGGUAAAGAAGCACCAGCUAACUACGUG
Molecule: ribosomal RNA, 468 nt
Filed under: uncultured bacterium
Lineage: Bacteria
Description: partial 16S ribosomal RNA
Rfam family: Bacterial small subunit ribosomal RNA
Source: RNAcentral